GACAGGAGCUUGCUCCUGAAUUCAGCGGCGGACGGGUGAGUAAUGCCUAGGAAUCUGCCUGGUAGUGGGGGACAACGUUUCGAAAGGAACGCUAAUACCGCAUACGUCCUACGGGAGAAAGCAGGGGACCUUCGGGCCUUGCGCUAUCAGAUGAGCCUAGGUCGGAUUAGCUAGUUGGUGAGGUAAUGGCUCACCAAGGCGACGAUCCGUAACUGGUCUGAGAGGAUGAUCAGUCACACUGGAACUGAGACACGGUCCAGACUCCUACGGGAGGCAGCAGUGGGGAAUAUUGGACAAUGGGCGAAAGCCUGAUCCAGCCAUGCCGCGUGUGUGAAGAAGGUCUUCGGAUUGUAAAGCACUUUAAGUUGGGAGGAAGGGCAUUAACCUAAUACGUUAGUGUUUUGACGUUACCGACAGAAUAAGCACCGGCUAACUCUGUGCCAGCAGCCGCGGUAAUACAGAGGGUGCAAGCGUUAAUCGGAAUUACUGGGCGUAAAGCGCGCGUAGGUGGUUUGUUAAGUUGGAUGUGAAAG
RNAcentral lists this ribosomal RNA (533 nucleotides) under Pseudomonas sp. S20(2015). Its description in RNAcentral is "bacterial SSU rRNA". It matches the Rfam family "Bacterial small subunit ribosomal RNA", at positions 71 to 600 of the family's 1533-position model. The record is from RNAcentral. RNAcentral also lists the same sequence under 3 other names. Lineage: Bacteria; Pseudomonadati; Pseudomonadota; Gammaproteobacteria; Pseudomonadales; Pseudomonadaceae.